RNAcentral lists this long non-coding RNA (516 nucleotides) under Salmo salar (Atlantic salmon). RNAcentral describes it as "lncRNA (ENSSSAG00000116889.1)". The record is from RNAcentral. Lineage: Eukaryota; Metazoa; Chordata; Actinopteri; Salmoniformes; Salmonidae.
CUGUAGUCUAGGUGCUCGUUAUAAGUGCUUGAAAUCAUUUAUUGCCGUGUUUCCUAGCAUCAAGACUGUGAUCGAAGGGUGAAUUGUGACUGAAUUACUGAGCUACAAAUAAUAUUAAGUAGUUAUUUAUAAGUCAAGGUUACUCUACAUCACUCUCGACUCGCCUUGAAAGUCAUCUGCAAUGUGGAACGUCCAACAAUUCAUUGACACAGUUGUGACUGACUCCUUCAUAGCCGUCGGCCAGCUCUUUCACAUCCACCAUCUAAUUGAGGUGAAAGGACAGAAAUGUUGAAAGUGUGUUUUCUGCAGCACCAGUAACCUCAAGAUACUUCACUCACUACAGCUGCUUUUGAAGAACUUUCCAGGUGUUUGUGAUUUACAUUCCGACUUUUGAAAUGUCUCCUUGAUUGGACAUAUUUAGCUAAUAAAAAAGAACAAUAUAUAAAGCAUGCAUCUGUUUUAAGGUUAUUGUGUUUGUGUGUGUGGUGUAGUUCCUCUUGGUGUCCACUAGGUGGC